RNAcentral lists this transfer RNA (89 nucleotides) under Asterophora parasitica. Its description in RNAcentral is "tRNA-Leu". It matches the Rfam family "tRNA". From Rfam's summary of the family: Transfer RNA (tRNA) molecules are approximately 80 nucleotides in length. Their secondary structure includes four short double-helical elements and three loops (D, anti-codon, and T loops). Lineage: Eukaryota; Fungi; Basidiomycota; Agaricomycetes; Agaricales; Lyophyllaceae. The record is from RNAcentral.
GGCAACUUGGCCGAGCGGUCUAAGGCGCUAGAAUCAGGAGAUCCUCCAUCUAGUCUUUCGGGGCGUGAGUUCGAAUCUCACAGUUGUCA